CCCCCAUCCCCAGUCCAUACAGGAGAGGAGAGGAAAGAGACUCAGUCUCUCAAGCCUCCCUCGGGGGGGCGGGGGAGCUGAGACCCUUCCAGUCCCCUUGCAGUGUGGCGAUCCCUGACGUGCAGGAGACAGGUCCCAAGGGCAUGAUUGUUUUAAAGAUAAAACCUUGGGUUUGGGGUUUUGACUAAUUACAGGUAGGAGGCGCCUCACAGCUUCCCUCCUGGGGAGAGGGAGAAAAGAGUAAACAGAGCCACCCACAGCAAGGGAGGAAUGAAGGCAAUCUGGAGACCUAGGUGGCAUUCAUUUACCAGACCUGCUGGAGCAGUUGUCUGCUGUGAUCUGGCAAAUCCUCUCUAGAAUUGUGUAUUCCAAACUGUUGCAUAUUACCAGCUCUGUGAUGCUGCCAUUGUUAAAACGGUACAGCUCGUGCACACUUGACUGCUUGUGCUGGGUUUGCUCGUCAUCACUGUGAGACCUGGCACUGGCAGAAGACACAGAGGGUAG
Long non-coding RNA from Mauremys mutica (yellowpond turtle), 504 nucleotides. RefSeq lists it as uncharacterized. The record is from RefSeq and is a predicted model, not a curated record. The transcript has 3 exons. Lineage: Eukaryota; Metazoa; Chordata; Testudines; Geoemydidae.